UACGUAGGGACCGAGCGUUGUCCGGAAUCAUUGGGCGUAAAGAGCGUGUAGGCGGCCACUUAAGUCCUGCGUGAAAUCUUGCGGCUCAACCGCAAGCGGUCGUGGGAAACUGGGUGGCUAGAGUGCGGGAGAGGAGAGUGGAAUUCCUGGUGUAGCGGUGGAAUGCGCAGAUAUCAGGAGGAACACCGGUGGUGUAAACGGCUUUCUGGACCAUAACUGACGCUGAGGCACGAAAGCGUGGGUAGCAAACAGG
RNAcentral lists this ribosomal RNA (253 nucleotides) under uncultured bacterium. RNAcentral's name for it is "partial 16S ribosomal RNA". It matches the Rfam family "Bacterial small subunit ribosomal RNA", at positions 524 to 776 of the family's 1533-position model. The record is from RNAcentral.